RNAcentral lists this unclassified non-coding RNA (638 nucleotides) under Hevea brasiliensis (rubber tree). Lineage: Eukaryota; Viridiplantae; Streptophyta; Magnoliopsida; Malpighiales; Euphorbiaceae. The record is from RNAcentral.
UAUAUGAAAAAUACCUCAAUUACAUGGUAUCAGAGCAACAGGUACCUAGCUCCGAAGUUUUUUUUCCGUUGAAAAUUUUCUACCAUUCCCUGUUCCAGUUCAUCGGCACAAUGUAACCUAGGAGGACUCCCUAGGACUAUCAAGGUACCUCACAGCCAGCCUCAAAAGGAGGCCCAGGUACCGAUCGGCCGCCCCUCAAAGUCUGGUGACCAGACGUGGAGAGAGUGGCCUCCACGCGCCACUUCUGUGUUUCGGCUACUGUUCCACGCGCCGGUGCAUGUCCGCAUGUGUGGUGUUUUCCGGUGACUCCUGACAGCCAAACAUUCUUCCCCAGCGUCGCCCCGACGAGGUGAUCCCAUCCCUGCAGGCCGUGUUUGGUUUUGGCGCUGCGUUCUUGGCAGUGUUUGAAGAAUCGCUUCUCUCGGGUCACUGGAUCUGCUGGUGUUCGAUAGCUCAGGCUAUUUGUGGACUUUAAGGUGCAAUGGCUGAGAGUGAGACCAAUUCUAUAAUCACAUGUAGUCCCAGUGAUGACUAAAAUCACUGAAAACAAACUUAAUGGCUUAAACUACUUGGAGUGGAACAAAACUGUUCGGAUUUAUUUAAGGAGCAUUGACAAAGAUGAUCAUCUCACAAAAGAU